AAGAGAAGUGCUGUGGCCCUGCCACCGGCUCCUUCCCCAUGCCCUGAAGUGAGUGAGCAGAAGACUGGGACACGCAUGUAGCUUGAGCUUGAGCCCCGCACAGGAGGACAGACGUGACCUGGAGCCUGGUGUCGCGGGAUUCUCCGCCGGGCACAGGACUGGGGACACUGGGCUGCACAAGUCCAGGCGCCCUGCUCGCUGUGGACCCGGGGAAUGGCGUCUGAGGAGGUGGCUGCUCCUCUGUGGCACCUAGAGCCCCUCCGCGGGGCCGUUCUCCUGUCUCCCUGUGCCGUCGAGGAGGUGCAUCCAGAGGGAUGAGUGACCUGGUCAGGAGAUCAGGAGUCACCGGUGGGAGCUGGGUCCUGAGAGUGAGGGUCAGAGUCCUCGGAGGUCAGAGGCCCCGGGGCUGCUUCCCCGCUUCCCCUGCUGCUCCGCCUCUUCCUGAGGGUCCUGCCGGCUGCGCUGACUCAGACGCGAAACCUCACCCCUUCCGGCUCCAUUUCCGCAAACCUCCCCGGGAGGUCUCGGGGUGACAUUCGGUCCACAGAAGACACUUUCCCGUGGCGUCUUACCAUAGGUGGCACUGGAACCUCCGGCCAUCUUCCUUCUUCCUCUUCCCGGCAGAGG
Molecule: long non-coding RNA, 627 nt
Organism: Eptesicus fuscus (big brown bat)
Lineage: Eukaryota; Metazoa; Chordata; Mammalia; Chiroptera; Vespertilionidae
Exons: 4
Source: RefSeq, a predicted model, not a curated record